AUUAAGUUUUUAUUUUUCCCCCUUUUUUGCCUUUUGGUUAAAUCGACCCCUCCAAAUAUAGUGAAUGACAAAUAUAUUCUUACAAAGUUCAAUUUUCAUAUGUUGUUUCUACAAAAGUUCUAAUAUUUUCAAAUAUGUUUUUCAGGUAUGUUACCGUUACAGAACCGUUUAUACUUUCAAUUUUAUCAUUACAAAUGUCUUUCCAAAAGGCAUAACAAUAUAAUUCAAGAGGAUUAAAAAUGUCAAAAAUUAAUCAAGGUUAAGCAUUUAAUCUAUGAUUAACUAAAUUUUUCUAAUGGAUUCUAACGAUAGGAAUAUAUUUGAAAACAUCAGAACUUUUAUAGCGACAAUAUAUGAAAAUUAAACUUUGUAGGAAUAUAUUUGUCAUUCACUAUAUUUGUAGGGAUCUGUAUAAAAUUAGUCCUAAAAAGUAUAUCAAUUUAAAAUUUUAUCAGAACAUAUAUUCUGGAGAAUAAUUGUUAGGGCAGAA
Molecule: long non-coding RNA, 490 nt
Filed under: Ananas comosus (pineapple)
Lineage: Eukaryota; Viridiplantae; Streptophyta; Magnoliopsida; Poales; Bromeliaceae
Description: long non-coding RNA (ACOM_LNC027440)
Source: RNAcentral